CACAUCUCUACUGCAUACCCAACAACCUACAUACCUAACAGAAGAUAGGGAUUCCAAACUACUAAAAUUCAAUAAAAGCAAUAGGCAUAAUGGCACAAAUUGAAUUACUAUAUAGCCAAAUCUGAUUAAGAUUCGGUCAGUCUGGAAUCAGCACUGGAAUCGCAGACUUAUUAACUGCUACAUGGCGGCUGAGGCUAAACGCAACGUAGCAUCUCCCCACCGGCCCAUGAAGGCACACAGCAGGACCAGGGCUCAGAUAGCACCGGCUCUGCAUGGGCCGACAGGGGAGAUCUGUGACCUCCCCUGGUGCCGGGCAGCACUGAUGAGGGACACGUUCAAGUAAGUAUUAGUGGUAGCGGACUGCUUUGAUAUCUGCUUUGGUUGCAC
Non-coding RNA from Pelobates cultripes (western spadefoot toad), 387 nucleotides. The record is from the annotation of a GenBank genome assembly. Lineage: Eukaryota; Metazoa; Chordata; Amphibia; Anura; Pelobatidae.